This 1885-nucleotide ribosomal RNA is filed under the name Lactobacillus helveticus. Its description in RNAcentral is "bacterial LSU rRNA". It matches the Rfam family "Bacterial large subunit ribosomal RNA", at positions 1028 to 2925 of the family's 2925-position model. The record is from RNAcentral. Lineage: Bacteria; Bacillati; Bacillota; Bacilli; Lactobacillales; Lactobacillaceae.
CAGAUCACCAGUUAAGGUCCCAAAAUCUAUGCUAAGUGGAAAAGGAUGUGGAGUUGCGCAGACAACUAGGACGUUGGCUCAGAAGCAGCCAUCAUUCAAAGAGUGCGUAAUAGCUCACUAGUCGAGUGACGCUGCGCCGAAAAUUUACCGGGGCUAAGCAUAGUACCGAAACUGUGGAUGUACGUAAGUACGUGGUAGGAGAGCGUUCUAAGUGCGGCGAAGGUUAACCGAGAGGAUAAUUGGAGCGCUUAGAAGUGAGAAUGCCGGUAUGAGUAGCGAAAGAUAGGUGAGAAUCCUAUCCGCCGAAAGACUAAGGUUUCCUGGGGCAGGCUCGUCCGCCCAGGGUAAGUCGGGACCUAAGGCAAGGCCGAAAGGCGUAGUCGAUGGAUAACAGGUAGAGAUUCCUGUACUGUGUUCAAUCGUUAAGAGCGAAGGAGGGACGCAGGAGGUGAAGCACGCAUCGCGAUGGAACGAUGUUCAAGCGACAAGUGCGGUUAAGAGUCAAAUGCUUCUAACCAGCAACACGAGUCGUGAUGAGGAGCGAAAUAAAAGUAGCGAAGGUGUGGUAGUCACACUGCCAAGAAAAGCUUCUAGCCAGAGAGAACAUACCCGUACCGCAAACCGACACAGGUAGUCGAGUGGAGAACACUAAGGUGAGCGAGAGAACUCUCGUUAAGGAACUCGGCAAAAUGACCCCGUAACUUCGGAAGAAGGGGUGCUGGCCAUGAGAAUGGUUAGCCGCAGUGAAUAGGCCCAAACAACUGUUUAUCAAAAACACAGGUCUCUGCAAAAUCGUAAGAUGACGUAUAGAGGCUGACACCUGCCCGGUGCUGGAAGGUUAAGAGGAGAGCUUAGCGCAAGCGAAGGUUUGAAUUGAAGCCCCAGUAAACGGCGGCCGUAACUAUAACGGUCCUAAGGUAGCGAAAUUCCUUGUCGGGUAAGUUCCGACCUGCACGAAAGGUGUAAUGAUUUGGGCACUGUCUCAACGAGAGACUCGGUGAAAUUAUAAUACCCGUGAAGAUGCGGGUUACCCGCGACAGGACGGAAAGACCCCAUGGAGCUUCACUGUAGCUUGAUAUUGAGUAUCUUUUAAACAUGUACAGGAUAGGUAGGAGCCAAGGAAAGCAGGACGCUAGUUUUGCUGGAGGCAAUGUUGGGAUACUACCCUUGUUUGAAGGAUGCUCUAACCUCGACCUGUAAGCCAGGCCAGGGACAGUGUCAGGUGGGCAGUUUGACUGGGGCGGUCGCCUCCUAAAGUGUAACGGAGGCGCUCAAAGGUUCCCUCAGAAUGGUUGGAAAUCAUUCGCAGAGUGUAAAGGUAUAAGGGAGCUUGACUGCGAGAGAAACAGCUCGAGCAGGUAGGAAACUAGGACUUAGUGAUCUGGUGGUACCGCAUGGAAGGGCCAUCACUCAACGGAUAAAAGCUACCCUGGGGAUAACAGGCUUAUCUCCCCCAAGAGUUCACAUCGACGGGGAGGUUUGGCACCUCGAUGUCGGCUCGUCGCAUCCUGGGGCUGUAGUCGGUCCCAAGGGUUGGGCUGUUCGCCCAUUAAAGCGGCACGCGAGCUGGGUUCAGAACGUCGUGAGACAGUUCGGUCCCUAUCCGUCGUGGGCGUAGGAAAUUUGAGAGGAGCUGUCCUUAGUACGAGAGGACCGGGAUGGACGCACCGCUGGUGUACCAGUUGUUCCGCCAGGAGCAUCGCUGGGUAGCUAUGUGCGGAAGGGAUAAGCGCUGAAAGCAUCUAAGUGCGAAGCCCCCCUCAAGAUGAGAUUUCCUUUGCGCAAGCAGUAAGACACCUCAAAGACGAUGAGGUAGAUAGGCUGGGAGUGGAAGUUCUGUGAAGAAUGGAGCGGACCAGUACUAAUCAGUCGAGGACUUGACCAA